Long non-coding RNA from Carassius gibelio (silver crucian carp), 921 nucleotides. RefSeq lists it as uncharacterized. Lineage: Eukaryota; Metazoa; Chordata; Actinopteri; Cypriniformes; Cyprinidae. The record is from RefSeq and is a predicted model, not a curated record. The transcript has 3 exons.
AACACAGUCUCACUCUCUACUCGUCAAAUGUCUGACGCAUGGUCAAGUGAUCUGGCGUCACUUUUUUGACGCACUGGGUAUACCUUUGGCGUUAUUUUUCAACGUGCAGGUUAGUCCGAUAGACUUCUAUAGAACUCAGCAGCGUUUAAAUUUGACGUCUUGGUUCAGCACACCGCAACUACACUGAAUAAAUAAAAAUAAAUAAUAGGCUACAAAAAAAAUUAUAUAUGACAGAGAUCGUUUUUAUCUGGCCCUCCAACUUGUUUUUGAGGUUUAAAUAUUCUCGCAAUCUGAUAUCAAAGUGAUCUCUGUGCCAAAGCUUAGCGCGUUCAUCAGUGGUGAGUUUAACAACACUCAACUGCAGGUAAAACAGCACUCAGCGGUGAGUUUGACCAAAGCAACGCUCAACUGCAGGGAAAACGACAUAAAAGUUCAUCAUCUCUAUGAAAUCACGUUCAAGAAGUCUCAUUCAGCACACAUCGCGAUACUUGCCAUCAGUUUCCAUGUGCCACAGGGUCGAUGUAAAGGAAGCAGUCAUCCCUGUGGUGUUUGUGGAGAGGUUUUCCUUCAGAAAUGGAGAAGACUGAAAGCUGCGGAGGCAGACAUUUGCAGCAGGAAGUCUGUGUUGGUUUUACCUUUUUAUCAAACUGCUGUUAUAAAUUGCACAGCAUUUGUUGUUUCUUAAACUUUUGCACUGUCCAAAUACCCACACUUACCAUCUUUGCACUUGACCAAUCGAUUAUUUAUUUGACGUAUUUCCUAUGUUUAGGCCAAGUGUUCGAGUGAGCAUGGUGACCACAAGUGUGUGUCGAACUUUUCAUGACCUGAUGACAGUGGUUCCCAAUCCUGAUCCUGGAGAACCCAGCACUGCACGGUUUUGGCGUCUCUCUUAUCUCACAAACACACUUUUGAGGUCUUGGA